RNAcentral lists this long non-coding RNA (1290 nucleotides) under Mus spicilegus (steppe mouse). Its description in RNAcentral is "lncRNA (ENSMSIG00000028182.1)". Lineage: Eukaryota; Metazoa; Chordata; Mammalia; Rodentia; Muridae. The record is from RNAcentral.
UAAGGACCACACCCAUGGUUCUGCUGGUCUCCAUGGGAACACUAAGGACCACGCCCUGAGGAAAUGGAAGGUUUACUUUGACUCCUGUUACCCGGGCUGUGAUGGCCAACUUUAACUGUCUACUUUACACAACUCAGAAUCGCUUGGGAAGAGGGUUCCCAGGAGGAAUUGCGGAGAUCAGGAUGGCCUGUGGGCAUGUCUUCUAGGACUCCCGCCAAGGAAGGUGUCACCCACACUCAGGGUGAGUGGUGUCUUCUCAGCCAACCGCUCAGCGAGCACCUUCCCCGGCCCACCCUAGGAUGAGUCACUGAGGUGAUUCUUAAUCCGGUGAAGUCGAUCAUGAAAAUGAACUGUCACAAGGCACAGCAGAGAAUUCAGGAGGAGGAGGAGCCUACACAGGCCUAGGAUCAAGAAAACUCUUCUAGAUGCAGUGAGCCAUCAACAAAUCAUUGAUGUGUGAUGGAGCUGGACAGGCAAGGGGCGGGAAAGGGUAAACAGAUUGCAAGAGGCAGAGGAGGAGGCAAGAUAGCAUCUUAAUGCCCGGUAUCCCCAGUGCCCCACACAACAAGCAUGAAAUAGACCAAUUUAGAUAUUACACAGCAUAAGGCUAGUUUGUGCCUUAGUCUGAUAGGUGGUAUCACCCAAUGCAAGCUUGAACAAAUCCCUCUACAUUUGGAGUCUUGCUGUCCUUGCUGCAAAGAUGGAUAAUUUAGGGAGAUUUGACAGAAGACCCAGGACCUACUUGUGAAGAUCAUUGACAGGAAGGGCUGUAAAACAAUCAAACCAGGACAGCAGGACAGCAGGACAGCAGGACAGCAGGACAAGACAGCACUGGCAUCUUGAAAGGAAGCAUGUUUUGUUUUGUUUUCUGAGACAGGGUCUCACAAUGUAGUUCUGGCUGUCCUGGAUCUUACUGUGUAUACCAGGCUAGCCUUGAACUCUCAGAGAUCUGCCUGCCUCUGUCUACAGCGUGCUAGAAUCAAAGGUGUGUGCCACUAUGCUAAGCUGAAAGCAAGCAUCUUAGGAUCUAAGUGUUGGUUAAUGAUAAAAAAUUAAGCAAUAUGGCAUGACCUGUUGGUGCAGGCUUUUAAUUCAUCGACCUGGGAGGCUCAGGCAGGAGGACUGAAAGUUCACUGCACACCUGGGCUAAAGCAUGAGUUCAAGGCCAACCUGGGCAACUUAGUGAGACUGUCUACAAAACUAAAAUGAGAGCCGGGGAUAUAACUUAGUGGGAAAAUGUUCACCUAGCAUGCACAAAGCCCUGCUUCAAAUCCCCUGCAAAAAUAAAAG